AGAGUUUGAUCCUGGCUCAGGAUGAACGCUAGCGGUGUGCUUAAUGCAUGCAAGUCGAACGGGAUCCUUUAGAUUCGUCUUAAGGUGAGAGUGGCGGACGGGUGAGUAACGCGUUGGUGACCUGCCCUAGAGAGGGGGACAACCGGUGGAAACGCCGGCUAAUACCCCAGAUGUCAAGGUAUUUAGAAAGCCUUGACUAAAGCUCCGGCGCUCUAGGAGGGGCCUGCGUUCCAUCAGCUUGUUGGUAAGGUAAUGGCUUACCAAGGCUAAGACGGAUAGGGGACGUGAGAGCGUGACCCCCCACACUGGUACUGAAACACGGACCAGAUACCUACGGGUAGCAGCAGCAAGGAAUAUUGCCCAAUGGACGAAAGUCUGAGGCAGCAACACCGCGUGGAGGACGAAAGCCUUCGGGUUGUAAACUCCUUUUCUGGGGGAAGAGAACGGACGGUACCCCAGGAAUAAGGCCCGGCUAACUACGUGCCAGCAGCCGCGGUAAAACGUAGGGGUCGAGCGUUAUCCGGAUUUACUGGGCGUAAAGAGCAUGUAGGCGGUUGCUUAAGUCGGACGUGAAAGCUCCUGGCUCAACUAGGAGAGGCCGUUCGAAACUAGGUAUCUCGAGGAUGGUAGAGGAUAGUGGAAUUCCCGGUGUAGUGGUGAAAUGCUUAGAUAUCGGGAGGAACACCAGUGGCGAAGGCGGCUAUCUGGGCCAUUCCUGACGCUGAGAUGCGAAAGCUAGGGGAGAGAACGGGAUUAGAAACCCCGGUAUUCCUAGCCGUAAACGAUGUCAACUAGGUGUAGGGGGUAUUGACCCCUCCUGUACUCAAGCUAACGCGAUAAGUUGACCGCCUGGGGACUACGGCCGCAAGGCUAAAACUCAAAGGAAUUGACGGGGACCCGCACAAGCAGCGGAGCGUGUGGUUUAAUUCGAGGCUACGCGAAGAACCUUACCAGGGUUUGACAUAAUGGUGGUAGGGAUCCGAAAGGUGACCGACCCUUCGGGGAGCCAUUACAGGUGCUGCAUGGCUGUCGUCAGCUCGUGCCGUGAGGUGUUAGGUUAAGUCCUGUAACGAGCGCAACCCACGUCGUUAGUUAUAUGUGUCUAACGAGACUGCCGGUGAUAAACCGGAGGAAGGUGUGGAUGACGUCAAGUCAGCAUGGCCUUUAUAUCCUGGGCUACACACACGCUACAAUGGCCGGUACAAUAGGUUGCGAAACCGCGAGGUGAAGCCAAUCCUCUAAAGCCGGUCUCAGUUCGGAUUGUAGGCUGCAACUCGCCUGCAUGAAGUCGGAGUUGCUAGUAAACGUGCGUCAGCACAGCGCGUUGAAUACGUUCCCGGGUCUUGUACACACCGCCCGUCACGUCAUGGAAGUUGGCAACGCCUGAAGUCGGUGGGCUAACCCUAACGGGAAGCAGCCGCCCAAGGCGGGGUCGGUAACUGGGACGAAGUCGUAACAAGGUA
This 1463-nucleotide ribosomal RNA is filed under the name metagenome. RNAcentral describes it as "bacterial SSU rRNA". It matches the Rfam family "Bacterial small subunit ribosomal RNA". The record is from RNAcentral.